RNAcentral lists this unclassified non-coding RNA (343 nucleotides) under uncultured fungus. RNAcentral's name for it is "sequence contains ITS1". The stretch from base 1 to 105 matches the Rfam family "5.8S ribosomal RNA", at positions 50 to 154 of the family's 154-position model. The record is from RNAcentral. Lineage: Eukaryota; Fungi.
GAAAUGCGAUACGUAGUGUGAAUUGCAGAAAACCGUGAACCAUCAAAUCUUUGAACGCAUAUUGCGCUCGAGGCCUCGGCCAAGAGCAUGUCUGCCUCAGCGUCGGGUUAAUACUCGCUCUCAAAACCCCUUUGGGUUUUCAAAGCGGAACUGGUAGUCCCAAUUCUCACGAGUUGGGUCUGCUGAAGCGCAGAGGUUGAUGUAUGGACCCGCUAUGGGCCGCAAUUGGGUGGGCAAUUCAUUGCUAUUUCUAAUUGUUGGCUUGGGACUGUGCAUCCGACCCUCAAACAGGAAACCCUUUUUUCUCGACCUGAGCUCAGGCAAGAUUACCCGCUGAACUUAA